CCUUGCAUUGUCAUCUGCACAAUCGUCAGCUUGUCCACCUUGUGUGUCAUGUUCAUGUGCACCAGCCUCAGAUAAGCCGUCCACAACAUCGAAAACUCCAAAAGAGGGUGUAACGACCACACAUGGAGAAGAGUUAGACCUAAAUGUUUUGGUGAUGUCGAUAACUUGUGCAGUACUUGCUGCAAUUGUAGUAAUCCAGUUUGUGUGGAUAUGCACUGGCAAAUGCCACAAAAACAGAAACAAAGGUGAAGCAGAACAAGUGCAAAAUGAUGCAGAGCAGUUCCCUCUUCAGCGUCGUGGAUCAGAAGAAGACACAUGAGAAGUAUCAGCCAUACAAGAUUAGAGCAGCGUUUAUGUAGUUUAUUAUUAUAAAAAGUUUAUGCAAUAUCUCAUGUUUUCCUUAACUUAGGUCUUUGUUGUGCUUGUGUUCUCUAAAUGGACAUUGUGUUGUAAAAGCACUUUCGCUUAGGACAUUAGUUUAUAGACAGUUCUAUUGAAGCAUCAAUUAUAGACCUUAUGACGAGGCUGAAUUUCAACAUUAUGAAUACUCAGCAGGGUAUUUUGAAUUGAAAACAUAUUAUCAUGCAAGAGCGAACACCCUCGCUUGUCAAACGGGUCUUGCCUACAAGUUUUGGAAAUGUAAAUUAUUUAUACUCAUUUAGAUUCGUGCUUUUCAAAAAGAAAACCAAACUUUCGAAGGUAAUUCCUGGAUAAAGUGUGUGAUGCAGGCAUAGAAUGCUUUCACUUUCAUCAUGUGGUAUAGAUAUUCACGACUAUAUAUUUUCUUAUUUGUUCUAAUAAACUGUCCAUUUUUGCAAUUU
This is a long non-coding RNA of Patiria miniata (bat star), 821 nucleotides long. RefSeq lists it as uncharacterized. The record is from RefSeq and is a predicted model, not a curated record. Lineage: Eukaryota; Metazoa; Echinodermata; Asteroidea; Valvatida; Asterinidae. The transcript is spliced from 4 exons.